GAAAUGCGAUAAGUAAUGUGAAUUGCAGAAUUCAGUGAAUCAUCGAAUCUUUGAACGCACAUUGCGCCCGCCAGCACUCUGGCGGGCAUGCCUGUUCGAGCGUCAUUUCAACCCUCAGAACCCCUUGCGGGAUCUGGCGUUGGGGAUUGGCAUCGAGCCAGCCCCGAAAUCUAGUGGCGGUCCCUCCGCGACCUCCCCUGUGCAGUAGCGAUACCUCGCAGCGGGACAGCGGUCUGACCACGCCGUAAAACCCCCAACUUCUCAAGGUUGACCUCGAAUCAGGUAGGAAUACCCGCUGAACUUAAGC
Molecule: unclassified non-coding RNA, 307 nt
Filed under: plant metagenome
Description: partial contains 5.8S ribosomal RNA, internal transcribed spacer 2, and large subunit ribosomal RNA
Rfam family: 5.8S ribosomal RNA (bases 1-105)
Source: RNAcentral